GCUCAGAUUGAACGCUGGCGGAUGCUUUACACAUGCAAGUCGAACGGCAGCACGGAUUUCGGUCAUGGCGAGUGGCUAAACGGGUGAGUAAUGUAUCGGAACGCCUAGUGGGGAUAACUACGCGAAAGUUGUAAAGCUUGUAUUACUCGUACGCCGCCCUCGGGGAAAGCGGGGACCUUCGGGGCCUCGCACUAUUAUUAGAGCAUGUUGAUAUCGGAUUAGCUAGUUGGUGGGGUAACGGCUCUCACCAAGGCGACGAUCCGUAGCUGGUUUGAGAGGACGACCACCACACUGGGACUGAGACACGGCCCAGACUCCUGCACGGGAGGCAGCAGUGGGAAUUUUGGACAAUGGGGGAACCCCGAUCCGCUUCAUCCCGCGUGUGCGAUGAAGGCCUUCAAGCCGGGGAAGCACUUUUGGCAGGUAUAAGAAACGGCACGGGACACACCGUGCAACUGACGUUCGCAGAACAAGUUACCCGCUAACUACGCCAGCAGCCAGGUAAUACGUAGGGUGCAAGGCGUUGUUCUGAAAUUCAUUGGGCGUAAAAGCGGGCGUAGCGGUUCGGAAAGAAAGAUGUGAAAAUCCCAGAGCUUAACUUUGAAUCCAUUUUUAACUACCGAGCUAGAGAGUGUGUCAGAGGGAGGGAACCGCGUAGCAGUGAAAUGCGCAGAUAUGCGGAGGAACACCACGGCGAAGGCAGCCCUGGGAUAACACUGACGCUCAUGCACGAAAGCGGGGAGCAACAGGAUUUCGACACUUGGCAGUCCAAUGCCUAAACGAUGUCAAUCUGCUGUUGGGGCCUUCUUGGGCCUUUGGUAGCGCAGCUAAUGCGUGAAGUUGACCCGCCUGGGGAGGCCGGUCAAGAUUAAAACCUCAAAGGAAUUGACGGGGACCUGCACAAGCGGUGGAUGAUGAUUAAUUCUGACGCAACGCGAAAACCUUACCUACUCCUUGACAUGUCUAAAUCCCGAAGAGAUUUGGGGAGUGCUCGCAGAGAACCGGAACACAGGUGCUGUGCAUGGUCGUGUCAGCUCGUGUCGUGAGAUGUUGGGUUAAGUCCCGCAACGAGCGCAACCUUUGUCAUUAGUUGCUACGAAAGGGCACGACGAGACUGCUGCGACAAACCGGAGGAAGGUGGGGAUGACGUCAAGUCCUCAUGGCCCUUAUGGGUAGGGCUUCACGUCAUACAAUGGUCGACAGUGGUCGCUAACCCGCGAGGGGGAGCUAAUCCUAGAAACCUGAUCAGUAGUCCGGACGUAGUCUGCACCUGACUGCGUAGUCGGAAUCGCUAGUAAUCGCGGAUCAGCAUGUCGCGGUGAAUACGUUCCCGGGUCUUGUACACACCGCCCGUCACACCAUGGGAGUGGGUUUUACCAGAAGUAGUUAGCCUAACCGUAAGGGGAGUGGCGAUUAACAUGGUAGGAUUCAUGACUGGUGAAGUCAUUAAGGUAG
RNAcentral lists this ribosomal RNA (1455 nucleotides) under uncultured Bordetella sp. RNAcentral describes it as "partial 16S-23S ribosomal RNA intergenic spacer". It matches the Rfam family "Bacterial small subunit ribosomal RNA". The record is from RNAcentral. Lineage: Bacteria; Pseudomonadati; Pseudomonadota; Betaproteobacteria; Burkholderiales; Alcaligenaceae.